RNAcentral lists this ribosomal RNA (98 nucleotides) under Escherichia coli. RNAcentral describes it as "partial 16S ribosomal RNA". It matches the Rfam family "Bacterial small subunit ribosomal RNA", at positions 1 to 92 of the family's 1533-position model. Lineage: Bacteria; Pseudomonadati; Pseudomonadota; Gammaproteobacteria; Enterobacterales; Enterobacteriaceae. The record is from RNAcentral.
UUAAAUUGAAGAGUUUGAUCAUGGCUCAGAUUGAACGCUGGCGGCAGGCCUAACACAUGCAAGUCGAACGGUAACAGAAAGCAGCUUGCUGCUUUCUG